This is a transfer RNA of 85 nucleotides. It matches the Rfam family "tRNA". Rfam says of the family: Transfer RNA (tRNA) molecules are approximately 80 nucleotides in length. Their secondary structure includes four short double-helical elements and three loops (D, anti-codon, and T loops).
GGAGGGAUGGCUGAGCGGUUUAAAGCGCUGGUCUUGAAAACCAGAAGACCGAAAGGUCUCGUGGGUUCGAAUCCCACUCCCUCCU